GUGAUCGGCCACACUGGGACUGAGACACGGCCCAGACUCCUACGGGAGGCAAUGACGUUAGCGGCGGACGAGUAACACGUACCUGCCUGUAAGACUGGCAGUAGGGAAUCUUCCGCAAUGGACGAAAGUCUGACGGAGCAACGCCGCGUGAUGAAAGGCUUUCGGGUCCUGUUUGUUAGGGAAGAACAAGUACAAGAGUAACUGCUUGUAACGGUACCUAACCAGAAAGCCCACGGCUAACUACGCCGCGGUAAUACGUAGGUGGCAAGCGUGUUAGAGGUAUCCGGAAUUAUUGGUGCGAGUGGUUUCUUAAGAGUCUGAUGUGAAAGGGCCAACGGCUCAACCGUGGAGGGUCAUUGGAAACUGGGGAACUUGAGUGCAGAAGUAGCAGUAAAAGCUGGAAUUCCACGUGUAGCGGUGAAAUGCGUAGAGAUGUAGUGGCGCCAAAGGCGGCUUGUCUGUAACUGACGGCUGUCAGGCGCGAUAAAGCGUGUGGCGGAGCA
This 503-nucleotide ribosomal RNA is filed under the name Priestia megaterium. Its description in RNAcentral is "Bacillus megaterium partial 16S ribosomal RNA". It matches the Rfam family "Bacterial small subunit ribosomal RNA", at positions 300 to 775 of the family's 1533-position model. The record is from RNAcentral. Lineage: Bacteria; Bacillati; Bacillota; Bacilli; Caryophanales; Bacillaceae.